RNAcentral lists this ribosomal RNA (369 nucleotides) under uncultured eukaryote. RNAcentral's name for it is "partial 18S ribosomal RNA". It matches the Rfam family "Eukaryotic small subunit ribosomal RNA", at positions 592 to 976 of the family's 1831-position model. The record is from RNAcentral.
CAAUAGCGUAUAUUAAAGUUGUUGCAGUUAAAAAGCUCGUAGUUGGACCUUGGGCCUGGACGGGCGGUCCGCCUCACGGCGUGUACUGUCUUGCCGGGCCUUUCCUCUUGGUGAUCUGUUGUUUCGGCAGCAGGGAACCAGGACCUUUACUGUGAAUAAAUUAGAGUGUUCAAAGCAGGCUUACGCCGUUGAAUAUGCUAGCAUGGAAUAAUAAGAUAGGACCUUGGUACUAUUUUGUUGGUUUGCGCACCGAGGUAAUGAUUAAUAGGGACAGUUGGGGGUAUUCGUAUUGCAUUGUCAGAGGUGAAAUUCUUGGAUUUUUGCAAGACGAACGACUGCGAAAGCAUUUACCAAGGAUGUUUNCAUUAA